AGCUUUGCGCAGUGGCGGUACCAUAGCCAAUGAGGAAAAUCCGAGGCGUGGUUAUUGCUAGUUGAAAACCGGGUUUCUCAUACUCCUGCGUAAAAGUGUUUUUUGUGAUUGAUUACUUUGAGAGGAGAAACCUUU
Liolophura sinensis is the source of this 135-nucleotide small nuclear RNA. RefSeq annotates it as U4 spliceosomal RNA. The transcript has a single exon. NCBI's taxonomy places the organism in Eukaryota, Metazoa, Mollusca, Polyplacophora, Chitonida, Chitonidae. The record is from RefSeq and is a predicted model, not a curated record.